Molecule: ribosomal RNA, 446 nt
Filed under: uncultured bacterium
Lineage: Bacteria
Description: partial 16S ribosomal RNA
Rfam family: Bacterial small subunit ribosomal RNA
Source: RNAcentral
UUCCAGACUCCUACGGGAGGCAGCAGUGGGGAAUAUUGCACAAUGGGGGGAACCCUGAUGCAGCGACGCCGCGUGGGUGAAGAAGUCAUUCGUGACGUAAAGCCCUAUCAGCAGGGAAGAAAAUGACGGUACCUGACUAAGAAGCCCCGGCUAACUACGUGCCAGCAGCCGCGGUAAUACGUAGGGGGCAAGCGUUAUCCGGAUUUACUGGGUGUAAAGGGAGCGUAGACGGCAUAGCAAGUCUGAAGUGAAAGCCCAAGGCUCAACCAUGGGACUGCUUUGGAAACUGUUAAGCUAGAGUGCUGGAGAGGUAAGCGGAAUUCCUAGUGUAGCGGUGAAAUGCGUAGAUAUUAGGAAGAACACCAGUGGCGAAGGCGGCUUACUGGACAGUAACUGACGUUGAGGCUCGAAAGCGUGGGGAGCAAACAGGAUUAGAUACCCGGGUA